UAGAGUUUGAUCGUGGCUCAGAUUGAACGCUGGCGGCAGGCUUAACACAUGCAAGUCGAACGAUGAUUAUCUAGCUUGCUAGAUAUGAUUAGUGGCGGACGGGUGAGUAACAUUUAGGAAUCUGCCUAGUAGUGGGGGAUAGCUCGGGGAAACUCGAAUUAAUACCGCAUACGACCUACGGGUGAAAGGGGGCGCAAGCUCUUGCUAUUAGAUGAGCCUAAAUCAGAUUAGCUAGUUGGUGGGGUAAAGGCCCACCAAGGCGACGAUCUGUAACUGGUCUGAGAGGAUGAUCAGUCACACCGGAACUGAGACACGGUCCGGACUCCUACGGGAGGCAGCAGUGGGGAAUAUUAGACAAUGGGGGAAACCCUGAUCCAGCCAUGCCGCGUGUGUGAAGAAGGCCUUUUGGUUGUAAAGCACUUUAAGCAGGGAGGAGAGGCUAAUGGUUAAUACCCAUUAGAUUAGACGUUACCUGCAGAAUAAGCACCGGCUAACUCUGUGCCAGCAGCCGCGGUAAUACAGAGGGUGCGAGCGUUAAUCGGAAUUACUGGGCGUAAAGCGAGUGUAGGUGGCUCAUUAAGUCACAUGUGAAAUCCCCGGGCUUAACCUGGGAACUGCAUGUGAUACUGGUGGUGCUAGAAUAUGUGAGAGGGAAGUAGAAUUCCAGGUGUAGCGGUGAAAUGCGUAGAGAUCUGGAGGAAUACCGAUGGCGAAGGCAGCUUCCUGGCAUAAUAUUGACACUGAGAUUCGAAAGCGUGGGUAGCAAACAGGAUUAGAUACCCUGGUAGUCCACGCCGUAAACGAUGUCUACUAGCCGUUGGGGUCCUUGAGACUUUAGUGGCGCAGUUAACGCGAUAAGUAGACCGCCUGGGGAGUACGGCCGCAAGGUUAAAACUCAAAUGAAUUGACGGGGGCCCGCACAAGCGGUGGAGCAUGUGGUUUAAUUCGAUGCAACGCGAAGAACCUUACCUGGUCUUGACAUAGUGAGAAUCCUGCAGAGAUGCGGGAGUGCCUUCGGGAAUUCACAUACAGGUGCUGCAUGGCUGUCGUCAGCUCGUGUCGUGAGAUGUUGGGUUAAGUCCCGCAACGAGCGCAACCCUUUUCCUUAUUUGCCAGCGGGUUAAGCCGGGAACUUUAAGGAUACUGCCAGUGACAAACUGGAGGAAGGCGGGGACGACGUCAAGUCAUCAUGGCCCUUACGACCAGGGCUACACACGUGCUACAAUGGUAGGUACAAAGGGUUGCUACCUAGCGAUAGGAUGCUAAUCUCAAAAAGCCGAUCGUAGUCCGGAUUGGAGUCUGCAACUCGACUCCAUGAAGUCGGAAUCGCUAGUAAUCGCGGAUCAGAAUGCCGCGGUGAAUACGUUCCCGGGCCUUGUACACACCGCCCGUCACACCAUGGGAAUUUGUUGCACCAGAAGUAGGUAGUCUAACCGCAAGGAGGACGCUUACCACGGUGUGGCCGAUGACUGGGGUGAAGUCGUAACAAGGUAACC
This 1496-nucleotide ribosomal RNA is filed under the name uncultured bacterium. RNAcentral's name for it is "bacterial SSU rRNA". It matches the Rfam family "Bacterial small subunit ribosomal RNA". The record is from RNAcentral.